Molecule: transfer RNA, 74 nt
Filed under: Synechococcus phage S-CRM01
Lineage: Duplodnaviria; Heunggongvirae; Uroviricota; Caudoviricetes; Pantevenvirales; Kyanoviridae
Rfam family: tRNA
About the family: Transfer RNA (tRNA) molecules are approximately 80 nucleotides in length. Their secondary structure includes four short double-helical elements and three loops (D, anti-codon, and T loops).
Source: Rfam by way of RNAcentral
UGCGGGAUAGAGCAGUCUGGUAGCUCAUCAGUCUCAUAAGCUGAAGAUCGGUGGUUCAAAUCCACCUCCCGCCU